UUGGAGGGCAAGUCUGGUGCCAGCAGCCGCGGUAAUUCCAGCUCCAAUAGCGUAUAUUAAAGUUGUUGCAGUUAAAAAGCUCGUAGUUGAAUUUCGGGGUUAGUAGGUUGGUCAUGCCUCUGGUAUGUACUGAUCUCACUGAUUCCUCCUUCCUUAUGAACCGUAAUGCCAUUAAUUUGGUGUUGCGGGGAAUUUGGACUGUUACUUUGAAAAAAUUAGAGUGUUUAAAGCAGGC
RNAcentral lists this ribosomal RNA (235 nucleotides) under uncultured Glomus. RNAcentral's name for it is "partial 18S rRNA". It matches the Rfam family "Eukaryotic small subunit ribosomal RNA", at positions 548 to 785 of the family's 1831-position model. Lineage: Eukaryota; Fungi; Glomeromycota; Glomeromycetes; Glomerales; Glomeraceae. The record is from RNAcentral.